UGGACAUUGCAAAGAGUGGCGAACGGGUGAGUAACACGUGGGAAACCUACCUCUUAGCAGGGGAUAACAUUUGGAAACAAGUGCUAAUACCGUAUAAUACCAACAACCGCAUGGUUGUUGGUUGAAAGGUGGUUCUGCUAUCACUAAGAGAUGGUCCCGCGGUGCAUUAGUUAGUUGGUGAGGUAAUGGCUCACCAAGACGAUGAUGCAUAGCCGAGUUGAGAGACUGAUCGGCCACAAUGGGACUGAGACACGGCCCAUACUCC
RNAcentral lists this ribosomal RNA (265 nucleotides) under uncultured Weissella sp. Its description in RNAcentral is "partial 16S ribosomal RNA". It matches the Rfam family "Bacterial small subunit ribosomal RNA", at positions 80 to 339 of the family's 1533-position model. Lineage: Bacteria; Bacillati; Bacillota; Bacilli; Lactobacillales; Lactobacillaceae. The record is from RNAcentral.